CAGCAGUGGGGAAUAUUGCACAAUGGGCGCAAGCCUGAUGCAGCCAUGCCGCGUGUAUGAAGAAGGCCUUCGGGUUGUAAAGUACUUUCAGCAGUGAGGAAGGCGGAGUCGUUAAUAGCGGCCUCGUUUGACGUUAGCUGCAGAAGAAGCACCGGCUAACUCCGUGCCAGCAGCCGCGGUAAUACGGAGGGUGCGAGCGUUAAUCGGAAUUACUGGGCGUAAAGCGCAUGCAGGUGGUUUGUUAAGUCAGAUGUGAAAGCCCCGGGGCUCAACCUCGGAAUUGCAUUUGAAACUGGCAGACUAGAGUACUGUAGAGGGGGUAGAAUUUCAGGUGUAGCGGUGAAAUGCGUAGAGAUCUGAAGGAAUACCGGUGGCGAAGGCGGCCCCCUGGACAGAUACUGACACUCAGAUGCGAAAGCGUGGGGAGCAAACAGGAUUAGAUACCCUGGUAG
Molecule: ribosomal RNA, 452 nt
Filed under: uncultured bacterium
Lineage: Bacteria
Description: bacterial SSU rRNA
Rfam family: Bacterial small subunit ribosomal RNA
Source: RNAcentral